AGUGAACGCUGGCGGCAGGCUUAACACAUGCAAGUCGAACGAUGGAACACUGCUAGCUGGGUGGAAUGGUUGGCAAGGGGCGAAUGACAGGGGAAUACACCGGACUCGACUCUGUGAUAAGGCAGGGCGAAGGGGAACAAAAGUUGAUAUGACUUAUCACCGCAUGGUGGGGGGAGGAGAGAUUGUGUGGUUUUGCGUGGGUUCGUGGCCUAUCAGGUUGUUCGUGUGGGAAGGGUUCAGCAAGGCGAAGACGGGUAGCCGGCCUGAGAGCGUGAGCGGCGACCCGGGGACUGCGACACGGCCCAGACGCCUACGGGGGGCAGCAGGGGGGAAUAUUGCACAAUGGGCGCAAGCCUGAUGCAGCGACGCUGCGGGAGGGAUGACGGCCUUCGGGUUGUAAACCUCUUUCAGUAGGGAAGAAGCGAGAGUGACGGUACCUGCAGAAGAAGCGCCGGCUAACUACGUG
This 466-nucleotide ribosomal RNA is filed under the name uncultured bacterium. RNAcentral's name for it is "partial 16S ribosomal RNA". It matches the Rfam family "Bacterial small subunit ribosomal RNA", at positions 30 to 507 of the family's 1533-position model. The record is from RNAcentral.